UAUUCUUUCAUUCCGUUUCUUAUAAUUUCACACCUGUUUACAGGCGAAACGAUGUAAAUCUAAUGUCUGGUACAGGUCCAUUGUUAGCUUACAAAUGCAGAUGUAUAGCGCAUAGAAAGUAAAGCACUUGAUGCAAAAAGAGUGGUGCUUAAGGAGAUCUCUCUUGUGUUCAUGCUGAAAUGAAGAGUUAAUAGCUGGUGUUGUUUUUCAGAUUGUACUUCAUAGAUCAGGUACAUAUAUAAAAGAUAUUCUGGGAUGUGCAGGAGGUAAAUAAGAUUUAGGAGUAUGUGGUUUCACCAUGUGAAGUUUGGUUUAGUUAUGUGUUUCUCAAGCUUAUUGUGUUGUUUUAUUGACUGUACUUUCCCUACUUGGAUUUCUAAUUCCAGUUAGUAGGUUGGGUUUGCCUCUCUUUGUAACUGGCAGAUGAACAAGAGUACCUCACAGUUGGAAAAGGUCAAAGCGUCUAACUGAUAACUAAAGAGGGAGUUCUCUUGGAUGCUUCAGAGAAAUCCAGGUUGUCAAAGCGUCUAACUGAUAACUAAAGAGGGAGUUCUCUUGGAUGCUUCAGAGAAAUCCAGAAAAUUAGAAGUGAUGUGAAGUGGGUGGCUGAGGAAAAAUAACACAGUUGUUAAUGGAGCCCAGUUUUGAAGUUGGUUGAUAUUAGCCUGUAAUGGAAUGGUGCAUAUGACUUUAUUUCCUGUUUGCUGGUUCAUGUAAGUGAUCGACUUUGGUAACAGUCAAUCUCAAGGCAGCAGAAGAUUAUUUAGUCAUGACUAUUAAGCACUAAAUGAGAUGUGGAACGUACUUGAGUUCAAGAAAGCCACUCAUCUCGAUUGCCCCACAAAAUGAUACUUCACCAUCACCUUGAGAAAAAUGCAUAUCACCAGUACUGAGGUUUGCUCCUUCUACAAAUACUGGAAGGUAUAUUUUUGAACCUCUGCUGAGAUUUUUGAUGUCACAAUUUCCUCCAUUUUCACGUCCAGGUAUUGUUCUUGCGGCCUCAUUGGCAAUUCUAUUCCAUUCAUGAGUUCCAUCUUGAAUCUACAUACAAUCACGAGUUGUCAAAAAAAAAAUUGACGUGCUUAGCCGUUAAGUUUGUUUGUUCACUCUCUUUCUCUAGAUCAUAUUCUGUUUACUGUUUACAGUAAUGUCGGGCUGCAGCUUGUUGAUAAGGAAUUUAUCUUCUUGUUCUUUUAUAGCUUUGGUUUAAAUUGAGAAUAUAUAAUGGUUAGGGAAUGACAAAGUGGUCAGUUCCUGAAACAAUUGCAAGCCUUCAUACCUUGCCAAGAAUGCACCCUUUUGUUGAAGGUAGGUUAGCCAAUGGUCUUGAAUGCAAGACUUCACAUAAUUUGAGAGUUUGGGGACCCGUUUCUUCAAGCUUUCUUUCCCUCUCAUUCCAGAUAUUGAGAAGUUCUUUUGAAGGCGCUGUUCCAAUUAUUCCAGGAUGAACUAAACCGGGAAAUCUUACACCUGUUUGAAAGAUUUCCGGUAAAUGUCAUUAGGAUUUGAUAUGUAUAUUUGUCUAGGAUAUAUUAGGAGAAGAUACAGCUUUACCUGGUAUAUGAGGUGAGUAGGCAUAUAUGCCUUCGAAAUACCAAAUGGCUUUAGUUGCACGUGGAAAAUGAUCUGUUAGAAAUCCUCCACCGUUCUCUCUAUCAAAUAUAGCUGUAAAACCCCAUUCGUCUCCAGGGAGAGGCCCCAAGUUGCAUAUUUCAACAGCAAGAAGGUCACCUGGUUCAGCAGGAUUUCCAUCCAAGUCUACAACUCUUACUGGCCCACUGAGAUAAUGGACCUGCAUAAGAGAGUUUAAUGAUUCAGUCUAAAGUGAUUUCAAACAUCUUAUGACUUGUGAGCUAGGACUCUUUGUUGGUUGAUUCACUGGAUAUGUUACUUUAUGCAUACUUACAGUGGAUAGAUCAACCGUUUUUACAUCAAUUGCAGAGUUAUUAUCUUGGAUAGCGCCUGCUGUCCAAUCAACCAUCUCAAUUCGGAACGUCUCCCCUGUUUUAAUCUCUGUUACAGGAGGUAUCUCUGGGUGCCAACGGUUGUGGAGUGGCAACUUUUGCUCCCAUGGUUUUUUCUUUAAGUCUAUGGGAAUUACAAGUCUUGGAGUUGGAGGAGCCAUGGUGACUUAGUGUUGUAUGAAUCACUGAGCAUGUUUACUUCCAUUACUUGGCAUUCUAAGGAAAGGAGGUGACUGAUUGGGACAAGGUCGCUAGCUGACAAAUGGGGAGUCACAUCUCUGUAAUGGUCACGGCUUACCUUCUUGAAAAUGACAAAGAUAUUGGACACAGUUGAUAAUAGUAUACAUCCUAAGUGUGAAACAAGCUAGCUCAAUCCAGCCCAAUAAAAUUAGAGCAAGAAAUAACUCUUUCUAGCUUCAAUGGUGGAUCUUCAGCCUCAAAAGAAAAUGUAUAAUAUUUAUGAAUAAGGUCUCUCAAAAGGAAAUAUUCAGUUGAUAUGGACCGAUACAAUUGAAAAAUAUAGUGAAGCUCACGCCAUGGACAUUCUAGUUUAACUUAUUACUUAUGUCUUUUGGCUAUUGUUGGAAUAUAUGGGUUCAGGGUUGAACUUUCACUGUUAACUUCGUGUUAAACCUUUUUCUUUCAGGAAACUACUACUAGUUCGGAAGAGGGGUUCAGUUGAAUAGAAGUAAUAAAGGUUGAAAACAAUGACACGAGAGUGCAAUGAAGAACUCACAACAGACUGAUCAGCAUGCUUGAUGUCCUCAGCAGUGUAGUCUUUUGUUAUACCACCUCCACUAAAAUCAACCAUCUCAACCCUGAACACCUCCCUAACUCGCACGUCUGCUACCGGAGGUAUCUCCGGGUGCCACCGGUUGUGAAGAGGUGGAUUUUGUUCCCAUGGCUUCUUCUUUAAAUCUACCUGCAGUACCAACUUUGGACCUAUUGAAUUCAUCAUGCCUUUUUUUCUAUGCCAGUAGCUAGGUUCUCAAGCUCGAAUUCACAUGAAAAGGUAGAAACGCCCUUCGUUAAGCUUUCUUAAUCAAAAAGCAGCGAGAGCUUUAUAGUACAUAACUUAUUCUUUCACUCAUGUUCAAGCUACAUGACAUUUGUUCAAAGUCAAUAAUAGGUUAGCAUAUGGUUUGGAGUUCC
Molecule: long non-coding RNA, 3116 nt
Organism: Capsicum annuum
Lineage: Eukaryota; Viridiplantae; Streptophyta; Magnoliopsida; Solanales; Solanaceae
Exons: 2
Source: RefSeq, a predicted model, not a curated record